RNAcentral lists this transfer RNA (66 nucleotides) under Typhlocybinae gen. 1 sp. 2 BY-2021a. RNAcentral's name for it is "tRNA-Asn". The record is from RNAcentral. Lineage: Eukaryota; Metazoa; Arthropoda; Insecta; Hemiptera; Cicadellidae.
UUGAUUGAAACCAAAAAGAGGUAUUUUAUUGUUAAUAAAAUAAUUGAAAUUAGAUUUCCAAUUAAA